Molecule: transfer RNA, 77 nt
Filed under: Candidatus Eiseniibacteriota bacterium
Lineage: Bacteria; Candidatus Eiseniibacteriota
Also listed under: 1 other name
Description: Candidatus Eisenbacteria bacterium tRNA-Arg
Rfam family: tRNA
About the family: Transfer RNA (tRNA) molecules are approximately 80 nucleotides in length.
Source: RNAcentral
GUGCCUGUAGCUCAGAAGGAUAGAGCAACGGAUUUCUAAUCCGUCGGUCGGGGGUUCGAUUCCCUCCAGGCGCGCCA